AAGUAACAGACUUCUAGAUGCCACUAAUGGUGCUUCAAGUGAGUGAAGAAGAAGCAGGACUGCAGCAAAGUGACAGACGUCUACCUGAGGCCCCACCAAUCAGCCAAGUUAAAAUUUUAACACCAUUGCAGACUGCUAAUACUGGAAGUCGCAGUACUAUUCCCUGGCUGAAGAAUCCACUUCUCCCUCUGGAAAUGAUGUGGCAACCUACUGAUGCCCUACGUGGAGAGCAUGACCUAAACAAAAACCAUGCAGACUUGUUUUCCUCACCACCACCUCAACCAGAGCCUUCAAAAGUUCAGAAGUCCUGGAUACCAUCUGAAGUUUCACCAAGACCAUGCAAAAACCUGGACACCCCCAUCACAGCUACAAAGGACUCCUGCUGAAG
Brienomyrus brachyistius is the source of this 388-nucleotide long non-coding RNA. RefSeq lists it as uncharacterized. The transcript is spliced from 3 exons. The record is from RefSeq and is a predicted model, not a curated record. NCBI's taxonomy places the organism in Eukaryota, Metazoa, Chordata, Actinopteri, Osteoglossiformes, Mormyridae.